RNAcentral lists this ribosomal RNA (306 nucleotides) under Triticum aestivum (bread wheat). RNAcentral describes it as "partial small subunit ribosomal RNA". Lineage: Eukaryota; Viridiplantae; Streptophyta; Magnoliopsida; Poales; Poaceae. The record is from RNAcentral.
AUGGGUAGUGUUUUCUCUUUAGACCCCCUCUAUUCUUACAUCUCAUCUUUUCUAAACCCUCAGAUGCCUCCGAGACAUGACCCCGGAUUUACCUUUCCAUCGGAGCUCACCCAGUUGAUCCAGCAGCAGAACACAUUGAUGCAGUUGCUAGUCCAGAAUCAGAAUCAGGGGAACAACAACAACAACCCACCACCACCACCACUUGUUGAUCACUUAGCCUGUUUUCUUAGGCUGAAUCCGCCGGUGUUUUCCAGUAGCACCGAGCCGAUAGUAGCAGAUGAUUGGCUCUGCAAGACAGCUAGAUAG